UACACACGGAUAACAUACCGAAAGGUAUGCUAAUACGGGAUAAUAUAUUUGAGAGGCAUCUCUUGAAUAUCAAAGGUGAGCCAGUACAGGAUGGACCCGCGUCUGAUUAGCUAGUUGGUAAGGUAAAGGCUUACCAAGGCGACGAUCAGUAGCCGACCUGAGAGGGUGAUCGGCCACAUUGGAACUGAGACACGGUCCAAACUCCUACGGGAGGCAGCAGUGGGGAAUAUUGCACAAUGGGCGAAAGCCUGAUGCAGCAACGCCGCGUGAGUGAUGAAGGCCUUCGGGUCGUAAAACUCUGUCCUCAAGGAAGAUAAUGACGGUACUCGAGGAGGAAGCCCCGGCUAACUACGUGCCAGCAGCCGCGGUAAUACGUAGGGGGCUAGCGUUAUCCGGAUUUACUGGGCGUAAAGGGUGCGUAGGCGGUCUUUCAAGUCAGGAGUGAAAGGCUACGGCUCAACCGUAGUAAGCUCUUGAAACUGGGAGACUUGAGUGCAGGAGGGGAGAGUGGAAUUCCUAGUGUAGCGGUGAAAUGCGUAGAUAUUAGGAGGAACACCAGUUGCGAAGGCGGCUCUCUGGACUGUAACUGACGCUGAGGCACGAAAGCGUGGGGAGCAAACAGGAUUAGAUACCCUGGUAGUCCACGCUGUAAACGAUGAGUACUAGGUGUCGGGGGUUACCCCCUUCGGUGCCGCAG
RNAcentral lists this ribosomal RNA (697 nucleotides) under uncultured bacterium. RNAcentral's name for it is "bacterial SSU rRNA". It matches the Rfam family "Bacterial small subunit ribosomal RNA", at positions 134 to 851 of the family's 1533-position model. The record is from RNAcentral.